GAUCGUACAUGUUUGAACAGCUAGUAACAAGGAAUUCUACACUGUCAUACUUGCACCACGUCAUCAAUAACAAGUCAAUCACAUUCCUUCUUUUUAAACAAAAGUACAAUAAAAAUACUUUUUUACAAUCAUGAUGGGACAUAUAUUCUUAAAAGGAUUAAUUUGAUUGGUUUGUUAUGCCACGUCACUAAUAUACCCGUUGCAUUCUAGAAUUUUUCGCUAGUAACAGACGUUUCAUCAAAUUCCGUGCAUGUUCUCUAUCGACCAGGAGAGAUACACGAUCAAGAAAUGCAUGGAACCCCAGGACUCCGUUUGGAUCGAAAAUUAAUAGGAACUAGUUAUACCGUAGAUAGGUAUAAAUAUAAAUUUUUAUAGGAAUAAGAGUGUUUUUUUUAUUUGGAUAAAAUUGUAAGUAUAAGUUGGAACUAAAAAAAUUAUGUUUAGAUAGUUUUUAAAAAUAAGAGCAAUAGUUGGCAGUUAUAAAUAGAAAAUAAUAAUAUUAUCUCUAUAAUUGAAUUUUAAACUUAUAAUUUUAAAUUUAAAAUUUUAACUUUUAAAUUUAAAUUAGAAAUUAAAAUUUUAAAUUUUAAUAUUAAAAAUUUUAAUUU
Molecule: long non-coding RNA, 608 nt
Filed under: Ananas comosus (pineapple)
Lineage: Eukaryota; Viridiplantae; Streptophyta; Magnoliopsida; Poales; Bromeliaceae
Description: long non-coding RNA (ACOM_LNC040833)
Source: RNAcentral